CCUACGGGAGGCAGCAGUGGGGAAUAUUGCACAAUGGGGGAAACCCUGAUGCAGCAACGCCGCGUGAGUGAAGAAGUAUUUCGGUAUGUAAAGCUCUAUCAGCAGGGAAGAAGAAAGACGGUACCUGACUAAGAAGCCCCGGCUAACUACGUGCCAGCAGCCGAGGUAAUACUUAGGGGGCAAGCGUUAUCCGGAUUUAAUGGGUGUAAAGGGAGCGUAGAAGGUUGGCCAAGUCUGGAGUGAAAGGCCGGGGCUUAACCCCGGAACGGCUUUGGAAACUGGGCAGCUAGAGGGCUGGAGAGGUAAGCGGAAUUCCGAGUGUAGCGGUGAAAUGCGUAGAUAUUAGGAGGAACACCAGUGGCGAAGGCGGCUUACUGGACAGUAACUGACGUUGAGGCUCGAAAGCGUGGGGAGCAAACAGGAUUAGAUACCCUGGUAGUC
This 441-nucleotide ribosomal RNA is filed under the name uncultured bacterium. Its description in RNAcentral is "partial 16S ribosomal RNA". It matches the Rfam family "Bacterial small subunit ribosomal RNA", at positions 338 to 795 of the family's 1533-position model. The record is from RNAcentral.